Myripristis murdjan (pinecone soldierfish) is the source of this 2297-nucleotide RNA transcript. It is a transcript of the gene named serine and arginine rich splicing factor 2a, with no coding region annotated. The record is from RefSeq and is a predicted model, not a curated record. The transcript is spliced from 4 exons. NCBI's taxonomy places the organism in Eukaryota, Metazoa, Chordata, Actinopteri, Holocentriformes, Holocentridae.
AAAAAAAGACAUAAAGGAAACGUUGUUGCCGCCAUUUCACGUGCGUGCAGCGCGGGCUAUCGACGUGCAGUAGUGAAAGAGCUUUCUAAAAGGUUAAAAGUUAGACGAGGUAGAUCAUUUAGGGCUUAGAAACAGGAAAACAAAGGCUUUACCAACGCGGUAGAGCCUCCGGGUUUUUGUUUUUGUCGGCGCGUUGUGUUCCCGCAGACGGAGAGAUGAGCUACGGAAGGCCGCCGCCUGACGUGGAGGGGAUGACCUCCCUCAAAGUGGACAACCUGACUUAUCGGACGUCGCCCGAGACUCUGCGCCGAGUGUUUGAGAAAUACGGCCGGGUAGGGGACGUGUACAUCCCGAGGGACAGGUACACCAAGGAGAGCCGCGGCUUCGCCUUCGUCCGCUUCCACGACAAGCGCGACGCCGAGGACGCCAUGGACGCCAUGGACGGCGCGCUCCUCGACGGGCGGGAGCUCCGCGUGCAGAUGGCGCGCUACGGCCGCCCGCCGGACUCCCACUACGGCCGGAGAGGCGGCGUGCCGCCCCGCAGAUACGGAGGGUACGGUCGCAGAAGCAGGAGCCGGUCAGCCAGCCCUCGUCGCCGCAGACGCAGCCGAUCCAGGAGCAGAAGCCGUUCCCGAUCCAGGAGCCGUUCCCGCUACAGCCGCUCCAGGUCCCGUUCCUACUCCAGAUCCAGGUCCAAGUCCAAGUCCAGAAGCCCCCGCAGGAGUAAAACCAAGUCUCCCUCCAGGUCACGGUCACGCUCCAAGUCCAAGUCCCGCAGUCGAACGCCGCCCUCUAAUAGAGGGUCCAAAUCCAGAUCCCGGUCCAAGAGCAGGCCCAAAUCCCCAGAGGACAACGGAACUGAGUCAUAACCCAAACCUGGACACAAUGAGACGCUGCGGAGUCCUGUUUGCAAAGAGAGGAGUUGGGGGUGUGGCAGUGUGAGAGCAGUUAGUGUGUGACCCGCCCAUGUGAUCUGCCUGUUGCUGAGGGCGAUGGCAGUUGCUAAGGAGCAGGUCACCCAGGCAACGGUGGUUGCUAUGGAGCAGGUCGUCAUGGCGGUGGUUCGGGCUGUCAGGUGGUGUAUGAGGUGGUGUGGUGAGGUACGUUCACAGGAUCACAGGCAGACGCACUGAGCGCUGCACCGUCUGUGUCUGUGGUUUCCCCCCGGCCACGCGACAACGGGAAUGGAUCCCGAGAUCUCAUAGGAUUGAGUCUUUGCUGCGGACAUCAGGAAGAGCCAAACACUGAGCAAGUGGACUCCCAACAUACACCCACUGAAUACAGACCCAAAGGUUAUUUGGAAUUUGGUCUACAAUGUUUUAAUUGAUUCAUUUGAUUUAAUUUGCCCAAACAAAUUCUGUAUUGUUGUGUACAUGAUAAGUGUUCAUUUAGGUGAGCGUAUUGAAAGGGAUUUGUCAGGUGGUUUUCUCCCUUUGAGUGAAAUUUUAUUGCAAAUUGAAUUUGUACCUCCUUGUUAAUAAAUUUUCUUUUUUGAAUUGCGUAGAUUUGUAGAUUCGUCAAAUCCUUUUUUGUUUAAUUCUCUUCCAAGAUGUAUUACUGUUUUAUUUGCGGCGUUGAUGUAGAAAGUGGUGUCAUGUUGGACAUGUAGAUCCUUAAAUGUAUACCACUGUUCUAGGGAAUAAAUGUGGCAUAAUGUACAGUAACAGCAAAAUGUUAAAGAAACCAUCAGUGCUACCCAUUUUAACUCUGCUAAUCUGACAGCAUAGCAUUUUCUUUUUCUCUCUGUCAAAUUUCUUUUUCUGUCUGGUUAAAUUUGCUUUCCUGUGACUCUAACCCUCUUUCUUGUGUAUCUUUUGUGCACUAGGCGCAGUUGUGUAGCAGUUGAGUAAUGCUGGUUAGCUGUUAAGAUGCGGUGCAGUGCGGUGGUGAGAUGGUGUGGCGUGUUGCGGUGCUGAGUGCCCGGCGCUUUUUCCGGGGCUCGACCCUCCGCUGCCGUUUGCCGGUUUGUAAGAUCACAGGUGUGGCAGAUCAUCCAUCUUCUCCUGUCUUGUGACCUCCUUCCCUUCCAUGUGUUGUACAAAUACUCCUCUCCUACUCCUCCCUCUCCUCCUCUCCCUAGCCUCUCUCCCUUUCCUCUGUGGUUUAUCCACUGCUAAUGCUGGUGUUGCUUGCUUCUGGAAAAAAAAAAGGGGGUCCAGUAUGACUCCCAGUGAAGGGUUGAGAGUGCAGUUCCAGCUGCUUUAAUAAAUUUUGUGUAUUGCAUUCCUAUGUGAACCUUUCAAAUGUCUUGUAAAUGCUUCAGGUGAAUGCUAAUAAAAAUCUUUUGUGGUAAAUAA